CCAAUGGUGGUUCAGUGGUAGAAUUCUUGCCUUCCCUGCAGGAGACCUGGGGUUGAUUCCCAGCCAACGCA
Molecule: transfer RNA, 71 nt
Filed under: Loxodonta africana (African savanna elephant)
Lineage: Eukaryota; Metazoa; Chordata; Mammalia; Proboscidea; Elephantidae
Rfam family: tRNA
About the family: Transfer RNA (tRNA) molecules are approximately 80 nucleotides in length.
Source: Rfam by way of RNAcentral